UGACAAGUGUCAAGAUUUUAUUUCUUUAUUAUUUUCCUUAUAAAUUAGCACAAAACCAGCCCAUUUCUCUUCAUUAUGGUCACCCUCACCAAGGAGAAGUAAGAAAAAGGAAGAAAAAACCCUAGGUGGAAAAAUUCAAGGGAAAAGUGUGAAAAUUCAAGGAAACAAGUGAAAAAGGUAAGAUUUUUUCAAUUUAAGCUUGAGAUCUCUCUUUCGUAAGCAUUUUUUCUUAUUUGCCAUGGUUGAAUCACAUGAAAUCAUGAUGAAUCUCUUGCUGGCGGAACACUUAGAGAGAGAUUUUGAUGGUUGUUUUGGUUAGAUUUUAAGAUAUUCUAGUGUUUUUAGUUGAUUGGUGAUGUGUAGCAUGAAAAUCAAGCAAGAAAAAUUCAUGUUCUUCCAUAAGGCUCAUUGCCCGAAUUCUCCAUGUGGAAUAUUGAUGAUGAUUUUGAUUUUAUUUCAAGUGAAUUGAUUAAGAAAUGAUGAAUUACGGUGAGAAAAUCAAGUAGGAAAAAUCAUAGUAUUGAUGCACCCACCAUGGCCGAAAUUCCCAAGAGAAAAUGUGAAGAUGAUUUUGCUAAAUUUUAUGCUAUUUGACUUGUGUUUGAUGGUUUCGAGAAUUGGAAGAAAAAUAGAGUUAAUUGGAGUUGAAUUGGACAUAUUGGCCAAUUAAUCGAGUGAUAGAUCGAAUUAGGCUAAUACCGUUUUAUUUAGGUACACAAUUAAAUUUGUGUAGAACACCGUCUUUAGACGAUAAUCCGAACAAUUUGCAUUCCAUUUCAGCAUUAGUAUAGAGCUUGAAUUGGCUUUAUAACAAUUUAGCACAAAUGUUGUAAAUGGCUUAUUGUGCAUUAUGUCUAGGUGGUGAGCAUUCUGGAAAAAGUAAAGAGAUAGUACCCGAGGAUCAAGAAUUGGAGUACUCUGAACUCGAUUCCCAUUAUAGUGAGUAACCUUACUAUCAUCUUAAUUAUCUAAAGUGGUUUUUAUUCGAUUUUGUGAUUUUAUGGAAAAUUAGUUAAAUGGUAAAUCUUUGUGUUUUGUAAUUAAAAUGUGAUUUAAUGAAAUGAUUUUAUAACAUUGUCUUGAAAUUGAAUGAUGGUUUGAAAAUAGAGUAAUUAGAGACUGUUUUCAUGUGUUGUAAAUUCAUAGUUUGAAUCGAAUGGCUUAUGACAAUAUUUGCAUGAAUGGCUGAAUUGAUAUUGUGUUGAAAUAUAUGAACUAUGUAUUUAGCCUUAAGAGGUUGAAUUGUGAUAUAAUUGUCAUGUCAUGCGGUUGAGAUUUUAUUGAAUUGGUGGGUUUAGCUUGCUGCAGUGGGCGGGUUUCGUGGACUAGCCUAUUAGAGGAGCACGGUAACCCUGUUAUAUUCUUACCUCGGUCGAAGAGGCGUGUAGGGUAACUCUCGAGGUACAACUUUAGAGUUCACUUCACGCCAAAUCACCAUGUGAGGAUGAACCCAGCCAAUGCCAAGGAACGGCUAUGUUUUCAAAAUAAAAACAUGAUUUAUGCGUACAUGACUUUUUAACAGCCUUAAACGGACUCGGUUGGGAUAGCCCUAAGCUAAGGUAUCUCUGACAACCGAGUGUGAGAAUGAUUUUGGCACGAGCCAAAGUUUUCAGAAAUUCAUAAGCCAUGUUGAUUACUCGAUUUAUAUGAAUUGAUUUUAUUUGGUUGAAAUGAGUUGAAAGUUGAUGAAUUACAAUAUGAUAAUCUAUUUUAAUCUGUCUCCAUUUACUCGACUUUAGAUAUUUUAGAUAUUAUUUGUUUACUCACUGGGAUUAUAUAUUCUCACCACCCUCUUUUUCACCCAUUUCAGGCUCAAGAUAGUCAGUAGACAGCUCAUUUCGUUGAGGGCUACAGUUGGACUUGCAUCCUCAAAAACUGUAAGUUUAUUGCUUUUAAUACUUUUGGUCGUUCGUGGGCCCACAUGUCACUGUAAAUUAAAUCUUAUGCUUUGGUUAUCUGUAGUACAGUAUGUAUGAAUUUAUUUAGCUUUUAAGCUACAAAAAUUAUUUACUGGUAACUCUAUAAAUAUUAUUUUAUAAGAAAAUAGAAUAUUUUAUUGAAUAUUUUUAUUAUAUUCAAAUAGUUAUAGUUUCGCUUUAAAUGAAUGUUUUAGACAUCUAAACUUAUUUUUG
This 2132-nucleotide long non-coding RNA is filed under the name Theobroma cacao (cacao). Its description in RNAcentral is "long non-coding RNA (TCAC_LNC001707)". Lineage: Eukaryota; Viridiplantae; Streptophyta; Magnoliopsida; Malvales; Malvaceae. The record is from RNAcentral.